Long non-coding RNA from Oncorhynchus tshawytscha (Chinook salmon), 499 nucleotides. NCBI's taxonomy places the organism in Eukaryota, Metazoa, Chordata, Actinopteri, Salmoniformes, Salmonidae. The record is from Ensembl.
GAGCCCUGGUAAAUAAGGUGGGAGAGGAGCCCUGGUAGAUAAGGUGGGAGAGGAGCCCUGGUAGAUAAGGUGGGAGAGGAGCCCUGGUAGAUAAGGUGGGAGAGGAGCCCUGGUAGAUAAGGUGGGAGAGGAGCCCUGGUAGAUAAGGUGGGAGAGGAGCCCUGGUAAAUAAGGUGGGAGAAGAGCCCUGGUAAAUAAGGUGGGAGAAGAGCCCUGGUAAAUAAGGUGGGACAGGAGCCCUGGUAAAUAAGGUGGGAGGGGCUGUAGAAGGACAGGAGACCUGGUAAAUAAGGUGGGAGAAGAGCCCUGGUAAAUAAGGUGGGACAGGAGCCCUGGUAAAUAAGGUGGGAGAAGAGCCCUGGUAAAUAAGGUGGGAGAGGAGCCCUGGUAAAUAAGGUGGGAGGGGCUGUAGAAGGACAGGAGCCCUGGUAAAUAAGGUGGGAGAGGAGCCCUGGUAAAUAAGGUGGGACAGGAGCCCUGGUAAAUAAGGUGGGAGGGG